UACAGAGGGUGCGAGCGUUAAUCGGAAUUACUGGGCGUAAAGCGCGCGUAGGCGGCUUUUCAAGUCGAUUGUGAAAUCCCCGGGCUUAACCUGGGAACUGCAGUCGAGACUGUCUAGCUAGAGUAUGGGAGAGGGAAGUGGAAUUUCAGGUGUAGCGGUGAAAUGCGCAGAUAUCAGGAGGAACACCGGUGGCGAAGGCGGGUCUCUGGGCCGAUACUGACGCUGAGGAGCGAAAGCGUGGGGAGCAAACAGG
RNAcentral lists this ribosomal RNA (253 nucleotides) under uncultured bacterium. Its description in RNAcentral is "partial 16S ribosomal RNA". It matches the Rfam family "Bacterial small subunit ribosomal RNA", at positions 524 to 776 of the family's 1533-position model. The record is from RNAcentral.